UUGAAGUAAACCUGAUGAGUUGCUGCUGGUUCUCUAGGGAGCAUUGUGCACACUUGUCAUUUUUAUAUCUCCACCUGUGAACCUUUUGUAGACCUGGAUAUCUCUCUGAGUAUUUGUGCUCAGGUUUGAGGACUUGACCCUCCUUACAUUUCCAGGUCUAUGUUUCUUCAUAUACCCGACCUAUGUUAUAGAAUGUAAUAAAUGAGCCUUUGUGCCUAUAAACCUUAUA
RNAcentral lists this unclassified non-coding RNA (229 nucleotides) under uncultured Cortinarius. RNAcentral describes it as "sequence contains ITS1". Lineage: Eukaryota; Fungi; Basidiomycota; Agaricomycetes; Agaricales; Cortinariaceae. The record is from RNAcentral.